This 388-nucleotide long non-coding RNA is filed under the name Lathyrus oleraceus (garden pea). RNAcentral's name for it is "Pisum sativum (pea) long non-coding RNA (PSAT_LNC015215)". Lineage: Eukaryota; Viridiplantae; Streptophyta; Magnoliopsida; Fabales; Fabaceae. The record is from RNAcentral.
ACCUCACGCUUGGACAUGGAGAAAGAAGGGGAUUUCCUUCUGCAAAUAAAAAACCAACUAAUCAUUUCCUUUACCUCAAAAUGUUUCCACUUGCCUUGUCCAACUAUUCCAUAAUCUCUGGCUCACUCAUCGCCUUACUCAUCUUCGAACACCCUCUGUUAUCAUGAAAAAAUCACCACCGUGCCACAGACUCAGAGCUCCACUUGUAACCAUCAUUUGUACUCGUCGACGACACAAGAAAUCAUCACCGCGAAAGUUUUUGAGUUGUUAUGGUUAUUUCUUAUUUUUAGGUAGUUCCAAUGCAGAUCACUUGACAUAAAGAGGAAUGGAGCCUGCCACGUCAAACACACCAUUAACUCAACACUGUGUUUUCCGCCUACACUCCAAC